AAGGAGAAACCCGCGACCGAUCGCUAGAGGCAGCCAGGCCUGAAUCUGGCAGCACCGCACGCUGUAACUGGCUUGGCUGGUUGCUUUGUGUGCGUGUGUGUGUGUGUGUGUGCGUGUGUGUGUGUGUGUGUGCGUGUGUGUGCGUGUGUGUGCGUGCUUCUCGUGGGUGAGUGGGUGCUGUCGGUGACUUUCCCUCUCAGCUCCGCUCGCAGGAAAUGAGCAAAACUCCCGUCUGCUCCGAGUGCUUUUCAGUACAAGACCAAAAAGGUUUAAUCGUUAUCUGGCUGAGUUCCAGGAUUAAGUGUGUGGGGUUAUAGAAAUCAUUUGAUACUUUGAACCUGGCAAAAGCUGGUGAUGAUUUGGGUCGAGUUACUGCCAAGAACACCCGAAUCACGCACUGGUGUUUUAUAAACAUCAACAGAGCCAUCUGCAACCUUUGGUCCAGGCUGAGAACUCGAAAGCCGAAGGGAGUCUCCUCACAAGCAGGAGGUUGUGCAACGCAUUCUGUGAAACUCAUAAAAAUCUCUGGCCUGUACCUAGUUUAUCAUAAAGGUGGCCACUACGGGACGGGGAACGACAGCGAGACUGCGGGAGCAGGUUUGAGCACUCUGCAUGCCUGCCAAGAUUUCAAAGGGAAAACAACAGGCAGGCUUUUCCAACUUCUGCCAGCUCCAACUCUAUCAGGCAGAAGCGAUGGACGAAGGUGCUGCAGCUGCUACAAACUAAUUUUCAGCCAGGCUGGGUCUUCCCAAAUUGCAGUAUGUUCAGUAGAUUGAAGAAGAACAUUGCUGGAGUGUCCUGUCCAGCUGGGAGCUGCUGUCGUCGUCAGCGGUGGCACGUAACCAAGAUACAUUUGGGAACACUUGAAGCAAGCAAUGAAUCACGAGCUGUCAUGUAUAAUUAUAUGUCACUGGAUAACGUAAUGUUGGUGUUGGAGUGCAUGUGGGCUAGUAAACCUUUGCUGGAAUGGAUGGACUGUAACAAGACUACAAGGUCUGAGACCAACUUCUUCUCCUGUUGAAGUUUUCAGAGUAAGGCUGGAGGUGUCCCAGCGGAGCGCGCUGCUCUUGCCAACACACAAGUCAUUACUGAAUGGAAGGAGGAGCAUGAAUUUUUAUAGCCUGUGCUAUGAAGGAAGUAAAACUAGAAGACCUAAUAGUCCUUUCUGGGUUUCAAAUCCAUGAAAACAUAAGUGGUGUGAUAAGACCCUCCCUGCUAACAGCAAAGCCUUUUCCCUUUGGUUCAAAUGCCAGCAAUCAAUUGCUACUUGCUGGCUGUAAUGCAUUGUUUACCUGUCUCUAGAGGCAACUGAUGUAUUAUUGUGCUUUGUUAAUUUUCUUUUCUUUUCAUAAUGUCCCAUAUUUUUUUCCUGAAUUGUUUCUUUUAUAGCUUUACUAAGUGCUGCCUCUUCUGGGAAAUAAGUCUGUGUUUGAGGCUCAGCCCUUCAAGGUGCUGAGAGCUCUGGACCUUCUCCAAGAAAGCUCUUAAGAGAACGGUCAUCUUUAGGUGUACGAGUAGCCUGGCCUAAGAAGCACUGUGUUUUUAGAUGGAGCCUCCGCAGCAUAGUGGCCACUUUGCCAGAAAUCAGAUUUAAACAUAUAUACUGUCAUUACUUUGACAUUUAUCUAUUGAAAGCUCCUUUAGAGCAUCCCUGAAGUAUUAAGAGACCCAUGGAGCUCUUGUUAUUAACACACGAUUGAUUAGCUGUAACUCUGAAGUUGUCUAGGGAAAAAAAAAAAAAGAGAGAGAGAGAGAGAACAAAAAGUCCUGUUAGAUAGUUCAAUAUUCAGAUUUUUUCUUAAGGAAAAAUUAAAAGCUGAGACUUUGGGUGUUUAUCUCCUUUUAGACAUCCACAAAAAUCCUCAUUGCAGCUGAGAGAUAAAAAAGAUAUAACAAGAACAAGAAAAGGGGAAUAAAGAAUGUUUGAAAAGAAACAGCAGAGCCUGGACUGAUGUAUUUGAGCAAGAGCUGAUGUUAGGAAUUUCCAUGUAGAAUAAGCAAAAUAAAAUGUCAUCUCAUGGUUUAAAUACUGCCAGAUGAUUCAAUAUACUUUUCACAGCAUUCUUUUGCCAUGUGAUAUUCUCUUAUGUUUGUUGAAGUCAGGAAAUGAGAAACUGCUUGAAAGGGAAAGGUUAGGCCUCGUGUCAUUGUAUAAUAUAUGCCCACAAGCCUAUUAUAUUAACAGAGCUGCUUAAGAUAAUUCCAAAUGGAAGAUGGAGUUCAUUUCUAUCACAGUAUAUUCUCACUGUGAUCUGCUAACAGAAAUCAGUGUAUCAUACACUUGUUAAAUUAAGGUUCAUGAGGAAUAGAGCCAAUGAGGACAUCGUAUUUUUUUCUUGGGAAAGUCGACAUUUGAACGAAAGUUUUUAGCUUGAAUCAAGAUGAAAAAUCAAACUGUUACACAUGUUCAUUCCAACCAUCUAUUAAAUAAGACAUAAAAUGUUGGUUUGAGUAAAUUAAAACAUUGUAUGUCAAUAUUAGUAGACUUUUCAUUUAGAUUCUAACUCUCAGUUACGGUUUUUACCAGAAUCAGUUUGAAGUUCUAAAUGAUUAAUUGAACCAAACAUGAAUUUUUAUAUCCAAAAUGUUGAAAUUGGGCAUUUUGAGAAUUUCUUAAAUAGGCUUUGGAAAUUAUCAAUUUGUGAAAAAGGACUAUUUGCAACAGACCUUUUUCUUUUCAAAGCACAGCCAUUUCCUAAAGAAAAAAUAUUUUGUGCAAAAAACUCCCAGCCCCCCAUAAUGAUGAAGUAAGCAAUACAUGUUUUAAUUACCUUGCUGUUUACUUUCUCUGUAGUUUCCCAGACUUUAAGGAAACUAUUAAAGCAAGGGUAGAGAGGAUUGUCUGUUCUGCUCGCACUCAUAAAACUCAAAUAUUGUGGUCUGGUCCGAUGUCAGCCUGGUUCAGAUGUUCUCCUGCCUGCCGUGCUCGAGGCUCUGUUCAUGACCAGAGGCACAUACGAGGCAUUAACAUAUCAGUAUCACACAUAGGCUGCACCGUGUGCUGGAGGGGCUCGGAGGGGAAGAAAGGAUCGUUCACUAGCUGCAUUUCUCCAAUCCACAUGCUUGACUGUCACUGUAGAUGGGAAAAUCCAGUGAAAUUUGGUCAGUUC
Molecule: long non-coding RNA, 3110 nt
Organism: Chroicocephalus ridibundus (black-headed gull)
Lineage: Eukaryota; Metazoa; Chordata; Aves; Charadriiformes; Laridae
Exons: 5
Source: RefSeq, a predicted model, not a curated record